AACUAUUCUUUUAUCAUGUUUAAGAACUCGUAUUCAUACCUCUUUUUGCCUGAUGCAGUAUUUAUUUAUUACAUCAUAACAUAUCUCUGUGGUGUAUACUAUUCUAUUGAUCUUUUAUAUCACAUUUUCUCUUGAGUUUAUCUGCAUUUUCUUAAUUAUCUCAUUUUACUUUAUUUAGGUUUUUGCACAAACUGAACUUUCCUUUGAAUCUG
Pelobates cultripes (western spadefoot toad) is the source of this 212-nucleotide non-coding RNA. The record is from the annotation of a GenBank genome assembly. Lineage: Eukaryota; Metazoa; Chordata; Amphibia; Anura; Pelobatidae.